UCCGAGAAUUCUUGUCCUUUGGUUUUAACUGUGGUUUAAGUUGGGGUGUGGACCCAUAUACUUGGCUUCCCGGUUUCAGCCCCAUCAUCUGGGCCUAGAACAGGUCCCCCAGUCAGAUGCAUAUUGGUAUGUCCCAAGCUCUCACCCUGUGAUGGCUCACUCUUGGAUGCUCUCUAAUGGUUCCUGAAGACCAGAGCUCCUGAAGCAGAGAUUCACUUUCAUUUCCCCCAGUUCAUUCACGUCUUCUCUCAGAAUUGGGAUGGAGGAGGAGGUAUCAACUCUUGUUCCUCUUGGUAGAAGUUCCUAGGAAGAGGGAAAUGAGGACUCCGGGUGUGAUCUAACCAGAGGAACUAGGAUCUCAGCCAUGCACUAGGGGCAGGGGGUGGGGUAUCACACCCCCUUUUUGUCCUUCCCUCCUAGACUGGACUCUCCCUCCCCCACCCACCCCUCACAAGCCCCUAGAUACACUCACUCUGUACCUUCUCUUUGUCUUGAGAUGCUGAUGAAUUGGAUUUCUUUGCUGCCAGGAGUAUAAAUAUUUUUCUGUUGCCACUCCCACCUAGAGCCAGCUGGCAUGUCCGGUUAGCUCUGGUUUUUCCCACUUCUCUCCUUGUACACACCCCUUGUGGUGUGCACACACAGAUAACAAACGUGGCAUUUGAAGGGUUGUGUUCCCAGCUUCAUAGCUGUUGGAUCUUGUAGGGAUUUAUGUUAGGAUUCAUGUCUGGCCAGCUUAGCCAGA
RNAcentral lists this long non-coding RNA (742 nucleotides) under Marmota monax (woodchuck). Lineage: Eukaryota; Metazoa; Chordata; Mammalia; Rodentia; Sciuridae. The record is from RNAcentral.